This 378-nucleotide ribosomal RNA is filed under the name Porrostoma sp. UPOL A00041. Its description in RNAcentral is "partial 16S ribosomal RNA". The stretch from base 154 to 312 matches the Rfam family "Bacterial large subunit ribosomal RNA", at positions 2473 to 2632 of the family's 2925-position model. Lineage: Eukaryota; Metazoa; Arthropoda; Insecta; Coleoptera; Lycidae. The record is from RNAcentral.
AAUAUUUUAACGUAAUUUGAAAUUAGAAUAUAUUUUUACUUUAAUUUAUUUAGUUGGGGUGAUUUGAAGAUAAAAUUAAUUCUUUAAUUUUUUAAUUAGUGAUUUCUAAAUUUUGAAUCUAUAAUUUAUAAAAUUAAAAUAAAUUACCUUAGGGAUAACAGCGUAAUUUUUCUUUAAAGUUCAUAUUGAAAGGAAAGUUUGCGACCUCGAUGUUGGAUUAAAAUUAAUUUUUGGUGCAAUAACUUAAAAAUUGGGUCUGUUCGACCUUUAAAAUUUUACAUGAUCUGAGUUUAAACCGGUGUAAACCAGGUUGGAUUCUAUCUUUAGAAAGUUAUUAUAUUUUAGUACGAAAGGACCAAGUAUAAGUUAAAUUAAUUG